UCGGGGCCCGAGUUGUAAUUUGUAGAGGAUGCUUCGGCGUUGGCGCCGCCCAAAGUUCCUUGGAACGGGACGUCGUAGAGGGUGAGAGCCCCGUGACCGGGCGGAUGCCUUCGCCAUGUGAAGCUCCUUCGACGAGUCGAGUUGUUUGGGAAUGCAGCUCAAAACGGGAGGUAAAUUUCUUCCAAAGCUAAAUACCGGCCGGAGACCGAUAGUGCACAAGUAGAGUGAUCGAAAGAUGAAAAGCACUUUGGAAAGAGAGUCAAACAGCGCGUGAAAUUGUUGAAAGGGAAGCGCUUGCGGUCAGACUUGGCCGUCGUUGCUCGGGGGGUCCUUCGCGACCCUUCUGUUCUUCGGCGGCUGGGCCAGCAUCGACUCGGGCGGCUGGAUAAAAGCUGGCGGAACGUAGCUCUCUCCGGGGAGUGUUAUAGCCGCCAGCAGAAUGUGGCCAGCCUGGGUCGAGGUCUGCGCAUCUGCUAGGAUGCUGGCGUAAUGGCCCCAAGCGGCCCGUCUUGAAACACGGACCAAGGAGUCUAACAUUCGUGCGAGUGUUCGGGUGUCAAACCCGUGCGCGCAAUGAAAGUGAACGGAGGUGGGAACCCUUACGGGCGCACCAUCGACCGAUCCUGAUGUCUUCGGAUGGAUUUGAGUAUGAGCACGUAUGUUGGGACCCGAAAGAUGGUGAACUAUGCCUAAGCAGGGCGAAGCCAGAGGAAACUCUGGUGGAGGCUCGCAGCGGUUCUGACGUGCAAAUCGAUCGUCAAAUUUGGGUAUAGGGGCGAAAGACUAAUCGAACCA
This 795-nucleotide ribosomal RNA is filed under the name Paramycoleptodiscus albizziae. RNAcentral describes it as "LSU rRNA". It matches the Rfam family "Eukaryotic large subunit ribosomal RNA", at positions 131 to 942 of the family's 3401-position model. Lineage: Eukaryota; Fungi; Ascomycota; Dothideomycetes; Muyocopronales; Muyocopronaceae. The record is from RNAcentral.